UACAGAGGGUGCGAGCGUUAAUCGGAAUUACUGGGCGUAAAGCGCACGUAGAUGGCUUUGUAAGUCAGAUGUGAAAUCCCCGGGCUCAACCUGGGAACUGCAUUUGAAACUGCAUUGCUCGAAUGUGGAAGAGGGAAGCGGAAUUCCAGGUGUAGCGGUGAAAUGCGUAGAUAUCUGGAGGAACAUCAGUGGCGAAGGCGGCUUCCUGGUCCAACAUUGACAUUCAGGUGCGAAAGCGUGGGGAGCAAACAGG
Molecule: ribosomal RNA, 253 nt
Filed under: uncultured bacterium
Lineage: Bacteria
Also listed under: 1 other name
Description: partial 16S ribosomal RNA
Rfam family: Bacterial small subunit ribosomal RNA
Source: RNAcentral